CCAGGGGCUCAGGGGCUCGUGGAAGAAGUGGACAUUGAAGUACUUAUCACACAAAUGAGGAUAAAAGUACGAUAGCGAUAUCUACCACGAAGCUGUUGUUCCACACCAGAAGCAAAUGAGCGCAAGAUCUGACAAAGAAAAAGAAAGGUUCAUCUUUUAUUUCUCCAAACACUUUCAUUUAAAUCAAGAGGAUGGGAUGUGGUUAUUGCUGUGUUUUUAGACAGAAUCAACGGUUUCUGGCUCUGAGAUGUUGCAUACACCCUCUCAGUCCCUGUAUCCUGAGAUGGAGUCACCUGAGGAUCCACAGCAAGUCCUAACCAGGGAUGGGUCUGGGUGAUUAAGGAAGGUUGGCUUCAGAACUGGGCCAGGGGCACUGCUUUGCUUUUGCUGUUUUGAUCAGCCCUCUGCCUGCAGGAGACAAGGAAAACCAAUGAGAACAGAAAUGAAGCGUCUCCUCAGGACCAGCAUUCCACGAAGGCAGCCCUUUUCUGGAUGGAGAAAACAGAACCUGAAGACACCCGUUUCCCUAAACUGCUCCUGCUCAUGUUGUAGUGAGCUGAAUGGUGGCUUUGCACAAGAUAUAUCCAGAUCCUUGUGCCUAGAAUCUGUGGAGGUGGCAUUAUUUGGAAAAACGGUCUCUGCAGAUGUAAUUAAGUUAAGGAUCUUGAGAUUCUCCUGGAGUAAUUUAGGUAGGUUGCACAUCUAAAGACAAGUGUCCUUAUAAGAGGACACUUUUGUCUGGGCGCAGUGGCUCAUGCCUGUAAUCCCAGCACUUUGGGAGGCCGAGGCGGGUGGAUCACCUCAGGUCAGGAGUUUGAGACCAGCCUGACCAACAUGGAGAAACCCCAUCUCUACUAAAAAUACAAAAUUAGCCGGGCAUGGUUGCGCAUGCCUGCAAUCCCAGCUACUGGGGAGGCUGAGGCAAGAGAGUUGCUUGAACCCAGGAGGAGGAGGUGGCAGUGAGCUGAGAUCAUGACAUUGCACUCCAGCCUGGGCAACAAGAGUGAAACUCCGUCUCAAAAAAAAAAAAAAAAAAAAAAAAGGACACUCUUUUUCAUGCGCCUCCGUGUGAAGAGACCACAAAACAGGCUUUUUGUGAGCAAUAAGGCUGUUUAUUUUACCUGGGUGCAGGUGGGCUGAGUCCAAAAAGAGUCAGUGAAGGGAGAUAGGAGUGGGGCUAUUUUAUAGGAUUUGGGUAGGUAAAGGAAAAAGGGGGGUUCUCUGGCAGGCAGGAGUGGGGGUCACAAGGUGCUCAGUAGGGGAGCUUUUGAGCCAGGAUGAGCAAGGAGAAGGAAUUUCACAAGAUAAUGUCAUCAGUUAAGGCAGGAACAGGACAUUUUCAUGUAUUUUGUGGUGGAAUGUCAUCAGUUAAGGCAGGAACCGGCCAUCUGGAUGUGUACAUGCAGGUCACAGGGGAUAUGAUGGUUUACCUUGGGCUCAG
Molecule: long non-coding RNA, 1441 nt
Filed under: Pan troglodytes (chimpanzee)
Lineage: Eukaryota; Metazoa; Chordata; Mammalia; Primates; Hominidae
Description: long non-coding RNA NONPTRT016957
Source: RNAcentral